GGGCUCGGUUGGCCGGUUCCGGGCCCGUCCGUCCCCGGUGGGUUCAUCGGGGGCUGACCGGUGACGGGGUCGUGCGGGCCGUCUUCCGGCCCA
RNAcentral lists this transfer RNA (93 nucleotides) under Methylorubrum extorquens. Its description in RNAcentral is "tRNA-Gly". RNAcentral also lists the same sequence under 1 other name. The record is from RNAcentral. Lineage: Bacteria; Pseudomonadati; Pseudomonadota; Alphaproteobacteria; Hyphomicrobiales; Methylobacteriaceae.